Molecule: transfer RNA, 81 nt
Filed under: Ipomoea nil (Japanese morning glory)
Lineage: Eukaryota; Viridiplantae; Streptophyta; Magnoliopsida; Solanales; Convolvulaceae
Rfam family: tRNA
About the family: Transfer RNA (tRNA) molecules are approximately 80 nucleotides in length.
Source: Rfam by way of RNAcentral
GUUGAGAUGGUUGAGUUGGUUUAAGGCGUCAAAUUAAAAUUCUAGUCUGAAAAGGUGUGACUUCAAAUCUCACUCUCAACA